AGGCUGUUGAUGUUUUUCAUUCAAAGCUCGCAAUGCACCGUUCUGAAAACUCUCCAGCGUAGAAUUCAGGAACCCUGAGUUUUCUAUCUCUGUCUAGUUCUGGACUGAAUGGGCUCAAGUCAUCUAGUUAACCUCUCUGGAUUUCAGUCUUCUGAAAAGUGAAGCUAAGAGAUCUAGCAUUCUGCAGAAAAGUACUGGAGAUGACUCAGGACUGAAAAUGAUCAUGAAGCCCCUUUGCAAAUAUCAAAGUGGUGAUGAAGCAGUCAUGAACUUUGACCAGAAGCCGUGUUUUGUGGGAUUGCCACUUUAAUCGCUCCUGUUCAUCAUUAGGACUGCAGCCAGAGUGUGGAAGGAGUUGGAUGACUUAAACACCACCCCUGAGAGGCAGCUGUUUCCAGAAUAUUGCACAAUUUAUUGAGUUCAUGAGAAUCGUGAUCGUUGGCAGCACCGAACUUCACGGAGGGAAUCAUAGGCACUUUAAUUCCAAUUUGUUGACUUAUGGAGGAAGAAAUUUCUCCCAGUGGUGUCCCUUCAUCCAGGAACAAGAGCCAUCAAAGUGUCACAGACUUAGAGCCGGAAGGGCUCUCCGCUAGUGUUUCUGCCAGUCCUCUUGGUUUUACACAUGAGGAAACUGAGGCCCAGAGAAGUUACCCAGUAGCAGAUCUGCAAGUCACCCAGUAGCAGAUCUGCAAGGAGCUCUUAGCAAUCCUGACUCCAAGUGUAAUGCUCUUGCAUUAGCUCUGUGCUGCCUCCUAGAUGUUGGUCUUCUUAAUGUUGAUAGCACAUUUGCUCAAAUGUUUGCUAAUAUGGUUUGGCUGUGUCCUCACCCAAAUCUCAUCUUGAAUUGUAGUUCCCAUAAUCCCCACUUGUCGUGGCAGGGACCCAGUGGGAGGUAAUUUAAUCAUGGGUGUGGUUACCCUCAUGCUGUUCUCAUGAUAGGGAGUGAAGUCUCACGAGAUCUGAUGGUUUUAUAAACAAGAGUUCUCCUGCACAAGCUCUGUUGCCUGCUGCCAUGUAAGAAGUCCCUUUGCUCUUCCUUCAUCUUCCGCCAUGAUUGUGAGGCCUCCCCAGCCAUAAGGAACCAUGAGUUCAUUAAACCUCUUUUUUUAUAAAUUA
Molecule: long non-coding RNA, 1116 nt
Filed under: Homo sapiens (human)
Lineage: Eukaryota; Metazoa; Chordata; Mammalia; Primates; Hominidae
Description: HSALNT0357261
Source: RNAcentral